GACGAACGCUGGCGGCGUGCUUAACACAUGCAAGUCGAGCGGUAAGGCCCUUUCGGGGGUACACGAGCGGCGAACGGGUGAGUAACACGUGGGUGACCUGCCCUCAGCUCUGGGAUAAGCCUGGGAAACCGGGUCUAAUACUGGAUAUGACUCCAUGACGCAUGUUGUGGGGUGGAAAGCCUUGUGCGGCUGAGGAUGGGCCCGCGGCCUAUCAGCUUGUUGGUGGGGUGANGGGCCUACCAAGGCGACGACGGGUAGCCGGCCUGAGAGGGCGACCGGCCACACUGGGACUGAGACACGGGCCCAGACUCCUACGGGAGGCAGCAGUGGGGAAUCUUGCGCAAUGGGCGAAAGCCUGACGCAGCGACGCCGCGUGAGGGAUGACGGCCUCGGUGUAAC
RNAcentral lists this ribosomal RNA (399 nucleotides) under uncultured bacterium. RNAcentral describes it as "bacterial SSU rRNA". It matches the Rfam family "Bacterial small subunit ribosomal RNA", at positions 28 to 429 of the family's 1533-position model. The record is from RNAcentral.